Molecule: transfer RNA, 72 nt
Filed under: Ovis aries (sheep)
Lineage: Eukaryota; Metazoa; Chordata; Mammalia; Artiodactyla; Bovidae
Rfam family: tRNA
About the family: Transfer RNA (tRNA) molecules are approximately 80 nucleotides in length. Their secondary structure includes four short double-helical elements and three loops (D, anti-codon, and T loops).
Source: Rfam by way of RNAcentral
UCCCUGGUGGCUCAGAUGGUAAAGUGUCUGCCUGUAAUGCAGGAGACCCAGGUUCGAUCCCUGGGUUGGGAA